This 1668-nucleotide ribosomal RNA is filed under the name Aphanostoma erinae. Its description in RNAcentral is "SSU rRNA". It matches the Rfam family "Eukaryotic small subunit ribosomal RNA". The record is from RNAcentral. Lineage: Eukaryota; Metazoa; Xenacoelomorpha; Acoela; Convolutidae.
AUGCAUGUGUAAGUUCAUCUAUAGAAUAGUGAAACCGCGGAUGGCUCAGUAAACCAGUCCGAAUUUUAUGAUAACAGGUUUCCAAAAGGAUACCUCAGGUAACCCUUGAGCUAAUACUUGAAUUUAUCUCGUCCGCGAGAACGACUCUAAUAGUAACCUCAGGCAAGACGUUAGUCCUGUCUAUGAGGGGAGAUCUAAUGAGAGAACAAACUCCGCUGGUUCGACUCGGAGUAUUAUCUCGAAGUGUCUGACCUAUCAAUUAGGGACGGUAGUGUCUUGGACUACCAUGGUUCUGACGGGUGACGGGGAAUCAGGGUUCUAUUCCGGAGAGGCAGCCUUAGAAACGGCUACUACACCCAAGGGAGGCAGCAGGCGCGCAAAUUACCCAAUACUAGUUCUGUGAGGUAGUGACGAGAAAUAACAAUACAUCACUUUAGUGUUGUAAUUGGAAUGACAGUGAAGUAAAUUUUCUCUGAAGGAUCAAGUGGAGGGCAAGUCUGGUGCCAGCAGCCGCGGUAAUACCAGCUUCCACAAGCAUAUGCAAAAGUUGCUGCGUUUAGAAAGCUCGUAGUUGGUGCUGUUAUUGCUAUAGUUAAAGUGGGUAUUUAAACCACAAUUAUGGCAAAAUCCGUGGAUAUCCGAUGCUUUGCACUUGGUUGUGUGAUACGUCGGAUCCAGUUUUACCUAGAAUAAAACAGCGUGUUCAAAGCAGCCUUUGGGUAUGAAUAAUGGAGCAUGGAAUAAUGGAAGAGGUUCGUGCAUCUUCUAUGGGUUAUUGAUUAGACGAUAAUGGUUAACAAGAUCGAGUGGGGGCGUUCGUAUUGCUACGUCAGAGGUGAAAUUCUUGGAUCGUAGCAAGACGGUCUACUGCGAAAGCAUUUGCCAAAAGUGUUUUUACUUAUCAAGAACGAAAGUUGGAGUAUUGAAGAGGAUUAGAUACCCUCGUAAUUCUAACCAUAAACUAUUCAAACUCGAUUUGUGCAUGAUCAAAUAUGUUCUGGCAUGAAUUAUCUAGGAAACUAAAGUUUUUCUGUUACGGGGGUAGUAUGGUUGCAAAAUCGAAACUUAAAGGAAUUGACGGAAGGGCACCACCAGGAGUGGAGCCUGCGGCUUAAUUCGACUCAACACGGGGAAACUCACCAGGUCCAGACAUGGUAAUGAUUGACAGACUGGAUAUCCAUCAUGAUUCCUUGGGUGGUGGUGCAUGGCCGUUCUUAGUUAGUGGAGUGCUCUGUCUGGUUGAUUCCGAUAACGAACGAGACCUAAUUCAACUGAAUAACAUUGGUGGGGAGGCUACCUAAUGUUUCUAAGCGAGACCACGUGGAUAUUUUACCACGUGGAAGUUGGGCUAUAACAGGUCUGUGAUGCCCUUAGAUGUCCUGGGCUGCACGCGCGCUACACUGAGUGUAACAUCGUGAUAAUUUUUGUCCGUUAGGGUCUGGGAAACCAUUGAAUUAUUUCACGUACUGGGAAUCGAUUUCUGGAAUUUCGAAUCGUAAACGAGGAAUUCCUAGUAAGUAUCGGUAAGUAUCCGGUGCUGAUUAUGUCCCUGCCCUUUGUACACACCGCCCGUCGCUACUACUGAUUGGGUGUAUGAGCAAGGUUUGUGGCCGGCAUUCAUUCGUUCUUACAAAUGUCUGAUGAAAGCAAAUCAAGUUCAUGCGUUUA